GGCUUAGAGUUUGAUCCUGGCUCAGAUUGAACGCUGGCGGCAUGCCUUACACAUGCAAGUCGAACGGCAGCGCGGGAGCAAUCCUGGCGGCGAGUGGCGAACGGGUGAGUAAUACAUCGGAACGUGCCCAAUCGUGGGGGAUAACGCAGCGAAAGCUGUGCUAAUACCGCAUACGAUCUACGGAUGAAAGCAGGGGAUCGCAAGACCUUGCGCGAAUGGAGCGGCCGAUGGCAGAUUAGGUAGUUGGUGAGGUAAAGGCUCACCAAGCCUUCGAUCUGUAGCUGGUCUGAGAGGACGACCAGCCACACUGGGACUGAGACACGGCCCAGACUCCUACGGGAGGCAGCAGUGGGGAAUUUUGGACAAUGGGCGAAAGCCUGAUCCAGCCAUGCCGCGUGCAGGAUGAAGGCCUUCGGGUUGUAAACUGCUUUUGUACGGAACGAAACGGCUCUUUCUAAUAAAGAGGGCUAAUG
Molecule: ribosomal RNA, 473 nt
Filed under: uncultured bacterium
Lineage: Bacteria
Description: SSU rRNA
Rfam family: Bacterial small subunit ribosomal RNA
Source: RNAcentral